Molecule: ribosomal RNA, 466 nt
Filed under: uncultured bacterium
Lineage: Bacteria
Description: bacterial SSU rRNA
Rfam family: Bacterial small subunit ribosomal RNA
Source: RNAcentral
UAAAGGGCAGCAGUGGGGAAGUAUUGCACAAUGGGCGAAAGCCUGAUGCAGCUAUGCCGCGUGUAUGAAGAAGGCCUUAGGGGUUGUAAAGUACUUUCAUCGGGGAGGAAAAACAAAACUAAUAAUUUUAUUUCUUGACGUUACCCGAAAAAGAAGCACCGGCUAACUCCGUGCCAGCAGCCGCGGUAAUACGGAGGGGUGCGUAGCGUUAAUCAGAAUUACUGGGCGUAAAGAGCACGUAGGUGGUUUUUUUAAGUCAGAUAGUGAAAUCCCUGGGCUUAACCUGGAACUGCUAAUUUGAAACUGAAAUACUAGAGUAUCGUAGAGGGAGGUAGAAUUCUAGGUGUAGCGGUGAAAUGCGUAGAUAUCUGGAGGAAUACCUGGUGGCGAAAGCGGCCUCCUAAACGAUACUGACACUGGGAGGGUGCGGAAAGCGGGUGGGGAGCAAAACGAGGAUUAGACUACC